Alligator mississippiensis (American alligator) is the source of this 824-nucleotide long non-coding RNA. RefSeq lists it as uncharacterized. The record is from RefSeq and is a predicted model, not a curated record. Lineage: Eukaryota; Metazoa; Chordata; Crocodylia; Alligatoridae. The transcript has 3 exons.
GCCGCGCGCGCUGGAGGUGGGGGCGGGACCCUUCGCUCGCUCGCUCGCGGGGUUCUCCUCAGCCCCUCCGGGAGAGGCAAGGGGAAGGGGCCGUCACCCCCGCCCCACCGCCAACGCGUCCCCCGCUUAGCGCUCCGAAUCGGUUCCUGAAAAACCGAGGGUUCAGUGAAACGAGCGUUAAGCGAAACCGGCAGGAUUUGACGACCCGAGAGGGCGAGCGCAAGCGUUAUAACGAAACUGGCCGAGCGCGAAGUGGAACCAGCGUGGGGAUGUCGAGGUACACAGUUCGCCUAGGGCACCAAUUACCCUUGGACCGGCCCUGAUCUGUUACCACCCUGGUUCCCCACCUGAGACUCGAGAGACGCGGGGUUGGAGAUGAGGAAAAUGCCAGCUUUUUGCGUUCACUGGGCUUUUUUUGGCAACUCAAAAAUAAAUUUCAAAACACGUUGGAAAAAGACUUUGCCCGUCUGUUGCAAAGAACUUGGGCAGCGAUGGGGCAAGGUGGUUUCGGCAAGGCACACUUUAGAGGCCCCCAAACUUUUGCAACAAAUGUCCAACUUGCUUAUAGGUCAUCAAAAUUAAGCCAGUAAGGGGCCCCGAAUGACUCUCUUGCUCAGGGCCCCAACAAGCCUAAGGCCACUGCUGCUUGAAAGGACCUCAGGGCAUCCCAGGUGGUGGAGGAUCACCGCAUUGUAUAAUACCACGUGAACAUACCCACACUUGCCCACUGACACUCCAGUAUUGCCUGCUGCUGGGCAGAAGGAUCUCCCUUUACAGAACUCAUGUGGGAUUUGGGAUUAAAACAGUAAAACUUUUAUAGCUGG